Long non-coding RNA from Columba livia (rock pigeon), 1083 nucleotides. RefSeq lists it as uncharacterized. NCBI's taxonomy places the organism in Eukaryota, Metazoa, Chordata, Aves, Columbiformes, Columbidae. The record is from RefSeq and is a predicted model, not a curated record. The transcript has 3 exons.
CAACCUCCAGGGCUUGCCAACUGCUGUUGACUAGUAAGAGCACAUCAUCCUUGGUGACAGAAGGUAACGUCUCACUUUGUCUGUGCAUUCCCUGGCAGGGCAGCAGCAGUAGAGAAACAGAGAUGUCCCACUGCACAGGUGUGACUCAUUGAACAGCCAGAGGUUAUAAUGAAGUAUCCCACUCAUCUUUUAGCUCACCCUUUGUUCAAGACAAUGCAGAUUGCAGAAGGUUUCUGAGGAGGCCUUGUCCUCAGCACGGAGCUCCCACUCAGCUGCUCUGUAUCAUCCCCCACCCAGAGGGAGGACAGGCAAGAGGAGGUGACCACCUUCAACAAAGGUUAUGGCUGGAAAAGAAGGAAACAUCAGCUCAACCAGGUCAGCCCAGCCCACCAACUGCUUCUGUAAUCCCUCUGCCCCAGGUCCCCACACUGUUCUGUGUGGGGGCUGGAUGAUACUGUAUGGGCAGCAUCCACGCAGAGACAUGAGGAAAAGGGUUAAGGAGGAAACAGCUAAUCACAGGAACAUCCCAGCGCCGUUUCCAGCCCUCCCCUUUUCAGUGCUUGUUGGGAAUAUGGACACUGAGAUACACCUUACUCCUACUCAAGUUCAGAAGACCAGACUUGGCACCCCCGAUUCUUCAGAAGGCUGAGAGCCAGAUCUGAACCAAUUCUUGUGCUUCAGCUCAGCUCCAUAUUCCCAGAAAACCCUGAAGUUUUGAGACUUUAGGAGCGAAAUGGCCCCAGUUCCGAGGUGCCUGUUCUGGGUCAGAAGCAACUGAAUCUUGCCAAUCUGUCAGCAACCAGGAGGAAGCCAGGGAACACAUGCCUCCUAUUUGAUAAAACUUGGUGCUGCACUUUAUACAGCAGCCAGUGCAUUAUUCCACAGUGAAAACAAACCCUAUUCUUCUCUGCCAGAUAAACACACUUGAUCCUAUAAAGAGCAGCAUUUCUGACUGUUCAGCAGCAGCCAAACUCACGAUGGGAAAAAUAACAGGUGUUUGUCAGGCACUCCUUGUUUAUUCACAGUGCUUAAAAUAAUUGCUUAAAAAAAUCUGACAGAGAUUUAAUUUUCUAUGCUCCUACA